Molecule: transfer RNA, 67 nt
Filed under: Dipodomys merriami (Merriam's kangaroo rat)
Lineage: Eukaryota; Metazoa; Chordata; Mammalia; Rodentia; Heteromyidae
Description: tRNA-Arg
Rfam family: tRNA
About the family: Transfer RNA (tRNA) molecules are approximately 80 nucleotides in length.
Source: RNAcentral
AGUAGUUAGUUUAAAUAAAACAAUUGAUUUCGGCUCAUUAAACUAUGAUUCAACUCAUAACUACUAU